This 189-nucleotide ribosomal RNA is filed under the name uncultured Staphylococcus sp. Its description in RNAcentral is "partial 16S ribosomal RNA". It matches the Rfam family "Bacterial small subunit ribosomal RNA", at positions 151 to 334 of the family's 1533-position model. Lineage: Bacteria; Bacillati; Bacillota; Bacilli; Caryophanales; Staphylococcaceae. The record is from RNAcentral.
CGGAAACCGGGGCUAAUACCGGAUAAUACAUGAAACCGCAUGGUUUCAUGAUGAAAGACGGUUUUGCUGUCACUUAUAGAUGGACCCGCGGCGUAUUAGCUAGUUGGUAAGGUAACGGCUUACCAAGGCAACGAUACGUAGCCGACCUGAGAGGGUGAUCGGCCACACUGGAACUGAGACGCGGUCCAG